UCGCGAAAACUUUGCAAUAAGCGAAAGCUUGACAGGGCUAUCCCGAGUGCCAUCCGCUGAGGAAGGCUUUUACCCAGUCUAGAACGCUGGGGGAAUAAGGAGAGGGCAAGUCUGGUGU
RNAcentral lists this ribosomal RNA (118 nucleotides) under uncultured archaeon. RNAcentral describes it as "partial 16S ribosomal RNA". It matches the Rfam family "Archaeal small subunit ribosomal RNA", at positions 339 to 458 of the family's 1478-position model. The record is from RNAcentral.